UGGGAGGCCACAGCAUCUGUUGAAGUCUCAAAUUAAGAAACAAAGAAUGGAAAGUGGUGGGAGGAAAAAACUGAGUUGGAAUAUUAUUUGAGUGAGGCAGUAGUUGAAGAGGAAAAUUCAUUUGAUAUACUGAGGUGGUGGAAGGUUAACUCUGGUAGAUUUCCUAUCCUUUCUAAGCUUGCUAGGGAUGUCUUAGCUAUACCAAUCUCAACUGUUGCCUCAGAGUCUGCCUUCAGUACAUCUGGGAGGGUUUUAGAUCCUUUUAGGAGUUCUUUAACUCCUAAAAUUGUGGAAGCCUUGGUUUGUACCCAAGAUUGGCUUAGGCUGCCAAAUACCCCUAUAUCAGUUGAGGAAAAUCUAGAAGAAUUAGAAAGAUUUGAGAAAGAAUUUACUGUUGAGGGAUGG
Molecule: long non-coding RNA, 405 nt
Organism: Ipomoea nil (Japanese morning glory)
Lineage: Eukaryota; Viridiplantae; Streptophyta; Magnoliopsida; Solanales; Convolvulaceae
Exons: 3
Source: RefSeq, a predicted model, not a curated record